This 72-nucleotide transfer RNA is filed under the name Daphnia pulex (common water flea). Its description in RNAcentral is "tRNA-Thr". It matches the Rfam family "tRNA". Rfam says of the family: Transfer RNA (tRNA) molecules are approximately 80 nucleotides in length. Their secondary structure includes four short double-helical elements and three loops (D, anti-codon, and T loops). Further hydrogen bonds mediate the characteristic L-shaped molecular structure. tRNAs have two regions of fundamental functional importance: the anti-codon, which is responsible for specific mRNA codon recognition, and the 3' end, to which the tRNAs corresponding amino acid is attached (by aminoacyl-tRNA synthetases). tRNAs cope with the degeneracy of the genetic code in two manners: having more than one tRNA (with a specific anti-codon) for a particular amino acid; and 'wobble' base-pairing, i.e. permitting non-standard base-pairing at the 3rd anti-codon position. The record is from RNAcentral. RNAcentral also lists the same sequence under 1 other name. Lineage: Eukaryota; Metazoa; Arthropoda; Branchiopoda; Diplostraca; Daphniidae.
GCCUUCUUAGCUCAGUGGUAGAGCGUUGGUCUCGUAAACCAAAGGUCGAGAGUUCAAUCCUCUCAGGAGGCA